Molecule: non-coding RNA, 29 nt
Filed under: Mus musculus (house mouse)
Lineage: Eukaryota; Metazoa; Chordata; Mammalia; Rodentia; Muridae
Source: RNAcentral
UUNCCUGGUGUCACUGGGUAGGCCACAUA